UUUUCCAAAACAUGUCCUUUUGAUUAAUUAAUAUAAGGUCGGGCCUGCCCAAUGAUUUAAUUUAAUGGCCGCAGUAUUCUAACUGUGCAAAGGUAGCAUAAUCAAUUGUCUCUUAAUUAGAGACUAGAAUGAAAGGUUUGACGAGGGGUGRGCUUUCUUUAUUAUAAAAAAUGAAUUUUACAUUUAGGUUAAAAGGCUUAAAUAUUACUAGGGGACGAGAAGACCCUAUAGAGCUUUAUAUUUAUUAAAUAUAAAUUAAUUAUAAUAUGAUAAGAUAUAUUUAAUAUAUUAUUUUGUUGGGGUGACAUAUAAAUUUAYUUAACUUUAUAUAAUAGAUAUCACUAAUUAGUGUAACAUUGAUCCAUUUAUAGUGAUUAAAAGAUUAAGCUACCUUAGGGAUAACAGCGUAAUUUCUUUGGAGAGUUCAAAUCGAUAAAGGAGUUUGCGACCUCGAUGUUGGAUUAAAAUAAGUUACAGGUGUAGCAGCUUGAUAACUAAGUCUGUUCGACUUUUAAAUUUUUACAUGAUUAAUUUUCA
RNAcentral lists this ribosomal RNA (537 nucleotides) under Alloeorhynchus sp. 1 JK-2020. Its description in RNAcentral is "partial large subunit ribosomal RNA". The record is from RNAcentral. Lineage: Eukaryota; Metazoa; Arthropoda; Insecta; Hemiptera; Nabidae.